GUCCACGCCCUAAACGAUGUCGACUAGUUGUUGGGGAAGGUAACUUCCUUAGUAACGCAGCUAACGCGUGAAGUCGACCGCCUGGGGAGUACGGCCGCAAGGUUAAAACUCAAAGGAAUUGACGGGGACCCGCACAAGCGGUGGAUGAUGUGGAUUAAUUCGAUGCAACGCGAAAAACCUUACCUACCCUUGACAUGCUAGGAGCCCUGCUGAGAGGCGGGGGUCCCGAAAGGGACCUAGACACAGGUGCUGCAUGGCUGUCGU
This 264-nucleotide ribosomal RNA is filed under the name uncultured bacterium. Its description in RNAcentral is "partial 16S ribosomal RNA". It matches the Rfam family "Bacterial small subunit ribosomal RNA", at positions 793 to 1055 of the family's 1533-position model. The record is from RNAcentral.